RNAcentral lists this ribosomal RNA (253 nucleotides) under uncultured bacterium. RNAcentral's name for it is "partial 16S ribosomal RNA". It matches the Rfam family "Bacterial small subunit ribosomal RNA", at positions 524 to 776 of the family's 1533-position model. The record is from RNAcentral.
UACGUAGGCAGCAAGCGUUGUUCGGAAUUACUGGGCGUAAAGAGUGUGUAGGCGGUGCUCUAAGUCUGUUGUGAAAUCUCCCGGCUUAACUGGGAGGGUGCGGCGGAGACUGGAGUGCUAGAGUGUGGGAGAGGUAAGCGGAAUUCCUGGUGUAGCGGUGAAAUGCGUAGAUAUCAGGAGGAACACCUGUGGUGUAGACAGCUUACUGGACCACGACUGAUGCUGAGACACGAAAGCGUGGGUAGCAAACAGG